RNAcentral lists this ribosomal RNA (296 nucleotides) under uncultured Lactobacillus sp. RNAcentral's name for it is "partial 16S ribosomal RNA". It matches the Rfam family "Bacterial small subunit ribosomal RNA", at positions 389 to 678 of the family's 1533-position model. Lineage: Bacteria; Bacillati; Bacillota; Bacilli; Lactobacillales; Lactobacillaceae. The record is from RNAcentral.
GGANCACNCCGCGUGAGUGANAANGNNUUCGGCUCGUAAANCUCUGUUGUUGGAGAAGAACGUGCGUGAGAGUAACUGUUCACGCUNUGACGGUAUCCAACCAGAAAGUCACGGCUAACUACGUGCCAGCAGCCGCGGUAAUACGUAGGUGGCAAGCGUUAUCCGGAUUUAUUGGGCGUAAAGCGAGCGCAGGCGGUUGCUUANGUCUGAUGUGAAAGCCUUCGGCUUAACCGAAGAAGUGCAUCGGAAACCGGGCGACUUGAGUGCAGAAGAGGACAGUGGAACUCCAUGUGUAG